Molecule: RNA transcript, 6602 nt
Organism: Mus pahari (shrew mouse)
Lineage: Eukaryota; Metazoa; Chordata; Mammalia; Rodentia; Muridae
Gene: Mtx3
Gene name: metaxin 3
Exons: 10
Source: RefSeq, a predicted model, not a curated record
UCAGCCCCGGCAAGAUGGCGGCCCCCAUGGAGCUCAGCUGCUGGGGAGGAGACUGGGGGCUCCCUUCGGUCCACAGCGAGUCCCUGGUGGUGCUGGCUUAUGCCAAGUUCUCCGGCGCGCCCUUGAGAGUCAAUGUGAUAGACAAGACCUGGAGAGGGUCGAGAGGUGAUGUACCAAUUUUGACAACUGAAGACAGCAUUAUUUCUAAGCCUGCAAAAAUUAUAAACUUUUUAAGAAAACAGAAAUAUAAUGCUGACUGUGAGCUCACAGCAAAACAAGGGGCAGACACACUGGCUUACAUCGCUCUCCUGGAAGAGAAGCUUCUCCCUGCUGUGCUUCACACCUUCUGGGUUGAGAAUGAGAAUUACUUUACCGUGACAAAGCCAUGGUUUGCCUCUCGUAUCCCUUUCCCUCUGAAUUUAAUCCUGCCGGGAAGGAUGUCUAGAGGAGCCCUGAAUAGGAUUCUCUUGACAAGGGGAGAACCUCCCCUCUACCAUGUCCAAGAAGUGGAAGCACAGAUAUAUAGAGAUGCCAAGGAGUGCCUAAAUCUCCUAUCAAACAGAUUGGGAACAUCUCAGUUUUUCUUUGGUGACACGCCCUCCACCUUGGACGCCUAUGUGUUCGGUUUCCUUGCGCCUCUUUAUAAAGUGAGUUUUCCCAAAGUUCACUUACAGAAGCAUCUGAAACAGCUCUGCAACCUGUGCCGCUUCUCUGAUGACAUCCUGGGCAGCUACUUUAGGCCCGGUCCUGGAGGUUAAACCACACGUGUUGAGUCCCUGCUGAAGAGUAGUGUUUAUCCUCAUUCGAGUGGGCAAUCACUUUAAAUGAUUCUUACCUGCUGCUUCCAGCAUUUUCCUUCAUGAACAGAAAUCAGUAGCAGAGUGACUUUGAUGAGGUACACUCCCAUGAUUCUACUACUUGAAAACUGAUUGCACCAAACUGGAGAUAUAGCGUCUCCCCAGCUGGACAAGAAAUGGUAGAUGCUAACCUGCAGAAGCUCACGCAGCUUGUAAAUAAGGAGUCCAACUUAAUUGAGAAGAUGGAUGGCAACCUCCGCCAAAGCCCUCAGCUUCUUCCUCGGAAGCUGCCGACCCUCAAACUGACUCCAGCAGAAGAGGAGAGUAAUUCCUUGCAGCUGCUGUCACCCUGACAGUCACAGCUGGUUGCAGUCUGUCUUAUGAUUGUUGCAGUCAUUGCUGAUGCCAAGUGUACGGAGACCCAAAGAAUGCUGUAAUAGGUUUAAGACUAAAGCAGAGGGAGCUGUAUGUGUAAAUUAGGAAAGCUAUUAUUUUAGCUUGGCAGUGCAUUUUAAAUAAAGGUGAAUGCUAAGCGAACUGGGUGGGUGGGCGGGCAGGGCAAGCCCAUGGUACUGUAUAUAAAACUCCUGCCUUAACCUUGGCAGAUCUUUGCCUUUGGUUCAGGUGUUGCUGACCAAAAGCUGCAAUUCUGUUGUGAAUGUACAUUUUUAAUGUAUUUAAGUUAAUUUAUUAGUUUUUCUUAGACUCGUCUCAGUACCUAAUAUGUGGCUUUUUGGCUGAGACCUUAUUCUUUUAAGAAGUCUGAUGCCGAUUUUAAGAACCAGGAAAAAUAGAAAUUAUUUCAAUAGAAAAGCCUGUAUUUAAUUUUAAAAAGCAAUGAGGAAUGUGCUUCUUAAUUGUUUUCUUGUAAGUCUGCUCCUUUGGCAGUUUAGUACUACAUAUACAAAUGUUAAAGGUGAUUUAUAUAAUACCCCUGAUAACACAUGCACGCACGCCAGUUUGACUAAGUACUUGCUGAUAGGUUUGCUCUAAGCUAGCAAAGAUGAACAUGGCAGCCUUAGACCUGUAUAUUUAGUACACCGUUGCUUACUUGUCUCAUUCUUACAUCAAUUCCAGAACUGGAAGUCUAGCUUGUCUUACUAUAGUGUUACUGUGCUCCCUGAAUUGUUAGGCCCCCCUGGGAUGAGCCGUGGCGAGCGUCCUGGAUCUGCUCCCGUGUGUUGGGUCUCAGUGCUCCAUUUGACUCAAAGCAGUUUGUUUCCUAAUAAGCAUAUCAUGUAGUCACACUUUCUGACAAACUAUUAUUUCCUGUGCAAUUUUAACUAUAGUUGAAGGAUCCAAAGGAAUGAGUCAAAAGUAGCAGGUUUCUAAGACGGUUUACAGUUAUUGGUUGUGAAUGAGCCGUUCAAGGAUUUGCUGUGUAGUAAUUUCACAUAUAAUAUAAACUCGCUAAUUUUAGUGGCCAAGGUGCUUCUGUUAUUGUAAAACUACUUCUGGAAUUUUAAAAAUAGGACCAUGUUUGGGAUUAGUGUCUUACAAGAUUACUGUGGUGCUCAGAAAAUGUUGCCAAGUUCUGCAGAAACCAGGCUGUGUUGUCUAGAGACUGGGCUAUUGUGAGCAGAGUGGAGCUCAGCUGCAUUUGACCUACAUCAACCCAGGUUGCUCUGUUUUUGGUAGAUGUAAGUCUCAGGUCACUGUAAAUACUCAGUCUUGAAGCUUUAAAUAAGACACAGUCGCAUCCACCUCUGUGAGUGCAUUUGCAUUUCGGACAUGUACUCAAUGAGUUUCACAGAACUGCUUUAACAGGGUGUGUGUUCGUGUGUGUGUGUGUGUGUGUGUGUGUGUGUGUGUGUGUGUGUGUGUGAGUGUGCAAUGCGGGAGUGAAUGUGUGCUAGUGAGUGUGGGUUUGUGCAUGUGUGUGUGAGUGAAUGUGUGUAGGGUAAGUGUAUGUGUGUACAUGUGUGUGUGGUGUAUGUGUGUACGGGAAGUGAGUGUAUGUGUGCGAUCUCCUAAGGCAAGUUACAACAGUCAGAAAUCUGGGUAUAUCUGAGUAUUGUGUUUUAAGAUUAAUGAUCAAGAGGCUUCAUUUGUCUCUAUGAUUGAUUUUAUAUUAAAGAAGGAUGGGUGACACAUUAGUCAUAUAUCUGUUUAUGCUUUAAUCAGGGUUACUCAUUUUCAACUAUUAUUAGUAGUAAACCUUCCAAAAAGUAUUUGAAGUAGUUUAUAUUUGUAAAAUGCAUGUAAGAAUAGGACAAUUAUUUUUGAACGAUAACAAUUCCUGAAAAAAAAAUCAUAUCAACAGUACUAGAUUGUAAAAUCUCACUCUCUGUGGGUGAUGUUAGAAGGUAAUUCUGAGGUAAGUUCUGCUAAUGUCUGUGAGGAAGGAACAUGGGCUUACAUGGUAGAAGAAUGCAACAGACCAUAUUCAGAAGACUCUAGACUUCAACCAAGGAGUGUACUGUACUGUUUGUGCACCAAACUCUUCUUAAUCAUUUUAGAAUAGUAAGCGCUUGUUCUUUUUAGUGGAGAGGAUGUCUGUAAAGUGACUUUUUUUUUUAUGGUCACCCUGCUCUGAACUGCCUUUAGCCUUAUAUUCUGUAGCCCAUGUGCUUCAAGCCCACAUUUCUGAGCUGCAGAACCUUAGUUAGCUGAGUAAGAACUUAGAUGUUAGUUACUGAGUUGAGCUCUGCUUGUCUAAGCAAAUGGAACAGGAGGAAGCUGUAACUGAGCAGAGAAUACUUCAGGGACCAGGCACACCAAGAAGCUCUUAGAAGGAGGUAGUUCCUUAGACGGGACAAAGGGCUGUAGUGACCCUGUCAGGACGUGUGUGUGUGAGUAUGCUGGGAAAAGUGCCCCACAGCCCUGACCAAACACUGUGAGCCAUGUGUGUCGGAGGUGGUGGUAGCAGGCAGCAUGGAAACAGGGACUGUGCUCAUUUUUACUUUUGUUGAUUUUACAGAGCUAGAAAAAAAAGAUGAGUUUGCUAAUUCCCACAGGAAAGCAUCUUCAGUGAACACUGUCAUCACAGUGGUGACCUAACACUGAAGCAACCACAGACAAGGGGGUGUGGGUUUCUUUACAACUUGACUUCACAAAAGGCUCACAGUAACAAGUGUCGGGGUACUAGAGGACCCAAGACUUUUUGGAAACAACCAUUUUUAUUUCUAGUUAUAAUCCCUAAAAAUUUAUAACUGAUAAAUACAGUAACACAGGGAACAAAGAUACUUAAGUUAGAUCUAAGUUAAAAUGUUUUCAAAGUCUAAAAAUGGGCAAAACGUACAUCAACAGAGGCAGAAACUUGAGGAAUAUUGUGAGAAAACGACUUUGUUCAGGUGGGAUUUGAUUUGGGUACUGCCUCUCAGACAUGCACCUUACCAAGCUUGCUCAAAAUGGUUUUUUUGGUAGAGUCAACAGUUUUUCAACAGCCACAACCAUAACCACUCAAAGGCAGAAUAUAAAUAUUUAAAUAUGCUUGGGAGCUGAAUGGCUGGCUGGCUCAGUACUUAAGAGAAUGUACAGCUCUUGCUGAGGACGUGGGUUCAGUUCCCAGGACCUAUGGCAGGUGGUUUACAACCUUCUGGAACUCUGUCUCCAGGGGAUCCGACACACCCUUCUGGAAUCCAUGAGCAUGUGUACUCAAAAUGUUCAUGCCCCCCCCCCCACACACAUAAUUACCAGUAAAAUUUGUUUAAAUAUACUUAGGAAGCUGAAUGAUGGGGCCAUGGAAUAUCUCACUUCCAUUUUUGUAAUGCUUUAAGAGUCUAUAAUUAUUCCAAAAUAAAAGGAUUUUUAAAAAGCAAACCUAGUAGAUUAAGUUUGUCACUAUCUACAUAUCUCUAUCUUAAAAUUUAAUACUGCAGACCUAGUGUUUAGUUUCCAAAUGAGAACUACAUUAUAUAUUGACAACAUUUUUUAUUUCAUUCUUGAGUUUAAGGAGAAAGCAGCUCAGGUUUCUAACAGAUGCAUCCCUGAAGAUGGCCCUUGCCUUUGAGAAUGUUUCUCACAGCCUCACACCAAAACUAAUUUCCAUUAAAAUAUCAAGAUGCUAAUGAUUUUACGUUUCUACCUUGUGUUAACUGAAGCCUCACUGGAGCUGCGUUUCAGGAUGAGAAGGCCAGGAUGUUUGGCUCUUUGUUAGUGUGGAAGCUGCUGGUGAUGGUGUAAUCUCUGGGACCCCAGGAUGCUUGUUUUACACUCAGUACUGUUGUGUCCAAAACAAAUGAGAACUCUGGGAAUUUAAAAGGCUUAAAAAAUAUUUUUCCAGAAAAACAGUCUUAAAAGAAUUAACAUUCUUGAACAGCCACAUGUGAUAAAAGGGAGGCUGGAGCUGAUUGCCUGUGAACAGUGAAGGUGUGUUGUGAUAGAGGGUUGCGCCAACAGAAUGCGCCAGCUUCUUUCAAAGGGGAAACAGGCACGUUUUUAUGCCCUCAUUAUUAUUAAUUUGAAGUUAUAAGGUAAAAACAUUUAGUUUAUGCAAGAGUAGAUUCUAAGAGGGUAUUUGGUAGAAUAUAUUGUUCUACUAAGUUUGGAAAAUGCUGUAUUAUGCAAAGCUGACUCGCUGUAGGCUUUUCAGAACCUUUGAUGUGUAAAUGUGUGUUUUUGGUUUCCAACUUCAGAGAUGUUUUAUUUUAUUAGCAAAGAGGACAGACUGAACCAGGCUGCAUGCGGGCGCAUGUAGAGGGCAGACUGAACCAGGCUGCGUGUGAGUGCAUGUAGAGAGGGCAGACUGAACCAGGCUGCGUGCGGGUGCAUGUAGAGGGCAGACUGAACCAGGCUGCGUGCGGGCGCAUGUAGAGGGCAGACUGAACCAGGAUGCGUGCGAGUGCAUGUAGAGAGGGCAGACUGAACCAGGCUGUGUGCGGGCGCAUGCACAUCCCCCAGGGGGACUCAUUGUCUCACCUCCAUUUAAUAUACCACUUCCCUAACUUAUUUUACUGAGGAUUUUUAAAAAGUAGAUGUUUUAUGGGAUUUGUGUUCUAAGGAAUUUCCUUAGGAGAACAUUGAGUAUUUUGUUGUCUGUGCUCAUUACAAAGUUUCUGUUUUGAGUGUUUCUCUGGUGAUGCUAAGGGUGACUAAACAAGCUUCAUUUCCUCCCAGAGUAUAAACCAGCUCACUAGUGAGGCUAUGGCGCCUUGUCAGCCUUUGCAGCAUAUACACACAGUCACAGGCUCGGCGCGCCAGGGCUUGAAUGUACAUUAGAAGCACAACUUGCUGUGGGGUUUGAGUGCUGGUGUCAUGGUGAGCAGCCAACCAUAUGAAAAGCUCUUGGAUCUUAGUUCUGAUGCUUCAGUUUUCCUCUCGAAGAUUAGAGCGAUGCCUGUAAUCAUGUAGUUUACAUAUCCCAGAUCUUCGGCCAUCACGGGAAGUGCCCUGCCAGAGUUUGCAUCAGCCUCUGAGAGUCAUUGGGGAAGGAGAAGGCCAUUCUGGCUGCUUGUUCUUUGGUCCGUGGGCUGCUGGCAUCUUGAUCUGAUGGAGGACGGGUGUGUACAAGCCUUUAAAUGCAUAAAGAUGAUUCGGGUUUCUCUUACGUCUUACUGUUUUGUAAAAUAGAAACCAUCCUUAAAUGAAACUGAAGUUUUGUAGCUUCACUUUAGCUUUCUGGAAGAUCAACAGAGGAAGGGACAAGAGCUGCAUAUGAUGUUUAUUGGCUCCAUCUCCCAAGGCAGUCUCUGUUCUAGUGUGCAAAUACCAUAGCCUUGCCUACUGUGAAUGUAUUUUACCUAGAGCUGAUGUAGAAAUACCCAGAAGUGGAAAUGAUGGUCACUGUUUAGAAUUUAUUCUGAUAAAUGAGAAACUGGAUAUAAUCUCAAAAUAGCUAUUUUCUCAAUAAAAUUGUAAAUCAUC